CCAGGCGGCGCUGUGGGAGCGGGAAUGCGGCGGCCCGCGCCGCGCCGCGACCCCCGGCCCAGCCCCGCGGGCCGCCGGGAGCGCCCCCCCCCCCCCCCCCAGAAAUGAGCCAUUUACGGGGAUUUUGGCGUUUUCUUGCAAAUGGGGAAAAAAAAAAAAAAUGGAGCUAGGAAAACAAUGCGGGUAGAGCUGGGCUGGAAGGCGCCGGGCGGGGCGGGCAGCGGUGGAGCGGGGUCCCGGCGGCUUCGGCCGCGCCGCUCCCCGCCGCCGGCCCGGCUCCGCGCCCCCGCGCCCGCCACAGGGCAGGGGCAGGGGCAGGGGCAGGGGGUCCCGCGCCGGAGGCGAGGCGGCAGAGAGUGCUCCCCCGCCGCAGGAGCCAAAGCAUGCUGCAUGUGAAAGCCAGAGCCGUUGGAGUAGGAAGAACAGCUGAAAUAUCUGUAAUGACAUCCAGUGCUAGAAAGUGCUUUGAAGCUGUAUAGCUGCUGUUUCUUUUCUAUGAUUUCCAAAUGCAGAAGGAAAAAAAAAACAACAAAACAAGAAAUAUCAAUGUUAAAAACAUCAGUCAGUCUAUUUAAUUGUACAAUAGUUGUCUGUGUCAUUUCUUUUCUCUUGUGAUGAUCUAAAGUGAGGAAGGCAAAGCAGAGAAUUUUCUUGAUGGUUAUAAAACAUGCAUUAUUUACUUCUGAGACAAAAAAAAACCCUACAUAGUAUUUGCCAAAGGCCAACAUAUUUAGGUAUUUCAAAAAGUGCAUUUUUACCUAGUUAUGCAUGACUCUUGAUGGUGAGUCUGACUGUAAUGUGGAUCACUGAGAGCCUCUAAAGGGCCACCACCAUUUUUUGUCAUCAUCCAUCCAUCAGUGACACUGUCACUUUGAAAUCUAACAAAAGUUUCCUGAUUUUAAUUUAUUCCCAUUCCUAUCAGGUUGCCAGAAAUACUAUGGAUUCAGCCUUAAAGAACUCGCUGCUCAGACCUUGCUGGUACACUGGGGACUGCAAGUUGCCAUGCCCCUUUUAGGGAGGCCAGUAUAGUCUUUGGUGAUCUGCUUGGCCAGUUUUGCCAGUCAGUGUAAGAAAAUACUGGUUUGCGUGAGUUUUAGCUUUCUCAGCCAUAAGGUGUGACAUAAAGACUGGGAGCAGGAUCAAUCCCCAGGGCUGGCAGACCCCAUUCUGAGCUGAGUGCUCUGACCAUUGCACACAAGCGCCUCCUGAAGUAACGCCAACAGAUGCUAACACAAGAUACCCCUACAAUAGAUGCAGACUGUGAACAUGUAAUGCUGCGCUCUCUCUCUGAUAUAUUGCGUCUGGACCUUGUAACAAUCAUGACAUUCACUCCAUGGCUAUCACUUAAUGUGUGUUUUAUUGUGCAUUUGAGAUCACAACUUACUCCAUGGGAAGUGGUAAGACUAUCUGCCAAAGGCCAGAUUCUGCUUUCUUGAGUUAAAUAAGCAGGUUCUUGAGCUGACUGCAGUAGGAAAGGUACUCCUCAGCAUGAGCGGAGCCAGGAGAACAUGAAACCCUCAUCCUGCACUUAGUUCUGCAAGCUCCAGUGAACACAGAGAGGCUGUGCAUGGCCACUGGUUACCAUCAAAGGGCUGGGGUAGACAUUGGUACAUGUGUUGAAAUAGCAAGAUUUAUGUAAUAUUUCACUAUUCUUACUAUUUUACUAUUUCAAAGCACUGAAAAUACUUCGAGGAUUUUUUCUGGUACUGUCCCACAUUUCCCCUUUCUCAUAUAUACAAGUGCUAGUUUAUAACACGCCAUAUCAGCUAAUGAAUUGGAAAUCAAGGGCAUAUCUGCAAGAACAUUUAACAGCAAAGUAGGUGGGCAAGAACUACAAAUCUCACCUGUUGCUCUGCCCAGUGACCCAGAGAAGAGAAAAUAGAAAGAAAACUGCUGCCAGUUGUAUGCCCAAAUAAAAAUACUAAAAUACAAAGCUGCUUACAAAUGUUUCAUAAUAAAAUCCUGUCCUGAUAAUAGUUUUUGUUUUAAUUUUGUGCCUAUUUGUAACUUCAAUGUAUCCAAACCAUUUUCAUUCAUUGUUAAAGAUGUAUUUCUUCUUGUGACUACACCUAGGUAAAGCAAAAUUAAAGCUUUCUAAAACAUAAUUGUCUGAAAGGGGGAAAUGUUGAUACACUUUUAACUAUAGCCCCAUGACUGACAUCUCUAGCAUGUUGAAAUAAAUACACAAAGUUAAUCGCUA
Phalacrocorax carbo (great cormorant) is the source of this 2200-nucleotide non-coding RNA. Lineage: Eukaryota; Metazoa; Chordata; Aves; Suliformes; Phalacrocoracidae. The record is from RefSeq and is a predicted model, not a curated record.